Molecule: long non-coding RNA, 1081 nt
Organism: Drosophila sulfurigaster albostrigata
Lineage: Eukaryota; Metazoa; Arthropoda; Insecta; Diptera; Drosophilidae
Exons: 3
Source: RefSeq, a predicted model, not a curated record
GCGUCGAAACGAAACUUUUUUUCUCACAACAAAUGGACGAAAAACGAACAAGAAAAAAAGAAAAUAAGCAGGAAAAAUAAAGUUUUGCCAUGACUUCAUUUAGAAUAAGUAAAAAUGACUUUAUGCGGUUAAUACGAAAAAUGAAAAUCAAUAACGGAGAGAAUAAACGGAGAGAGAGAGAGAAAGAGAGAGUGCCAUGGGGCAAAAAAAAGUUGCCAUCAGGCAAACAGUUAAACAGUUGAACACUUUCCCAUGGGCUGCCAACCCUCAGCUAUAGAACAGCUUUACUAUAUAGUAUGUGGUAGAUAUAGGCUCUGUGUUAUUUGAACGUUUCUAACCGAUUGCCCAAUAAUAAGCCAUGAAAUAUUCAAUACACUGCGGAAACACGGAAACGGAAACAACACACGAAACGCAACUGACAACUGGCAACUGACGGCAGCAUAUAACAUAUACUAUACUAUAUGUUAGUAGCAACAGCAAAUACUAAAUGAAACCGCAACAAAACUCCGCAAUAUGGAAACCACUGAAGCAGCUCUAGCGGAUCACAUUAGAGUUCCACACGCACUGCCAGCAAAGCAAAAAAAAAAUGACAUAAAGGCAAACCGCAAAGAGGCAGAAAAUGCAAGAAAUAUGUAUAAUGAAAAAUCGAAUCGUGCGUUGGAAAAACAAUUUACACACACUCAAAACACAGAACAGCAAAUGGCAUAAAUAUUAUGUACAGACAGACGGACGGAGAGUGUUGUAUUUUAUAUUCGUACUACAAAAGUCAGAGGGAGCUCGUAUUUAUUAAGCCUACAAAUGGGUUUGCAAAGAAGGGAGCCAAAGCUAAAGCUGCCUCUGUGUGUCCGCCAGCAUAAACCAAACAACAAAAUCCGGAAAGUUUCCCAACUGCAUUCAAAUAAGUACCACGGGGAGUAUGCAAUAACUAUCGUAUACUAUAUAUAAACUGACUUCUUUAAUUAACAACACAACAAAAAAACGGUGGAGACAUUACAACAACUAAAAAGUAGAUAAUCAUCUGAAUGCACACUAUAUAUCAGUAGCUGUUCUUUUCUGAUCUGAUAAAAAUGAUGACAUGUGA